AAGCUGAACUUUAGCCCUGCCGCUGAGGCUUCCACCAUCACGGUGCGGAAGCUUAAGUUCCACGUGCAGAAGCUGCUGAAGCAGGUGGACUUCCUGAACUGGGAGGUCACCGAUAGCAACCUGCACGAGCUGCGCGUGUUGCGGCGUUACCGGCAGCAGCGGCGGGAGGACUACACGCGCUGCAACCAGCUGAACCGUGCCGUGCGUGACCUGGCGCGGCGCCUGCGCGACCUGCGGAGCGUGACCCGUUCCGCAUGCGCACUUCCGCCGCGCUGCCGGACAAGCUGUGUGCUCUCGGCCUGGUGCCCACGCGCGGUUCACUGGAGCCCUGCGACUUCAUCAGGGCCUCCUCCUUCUGCCGCCGCCGCCUUCCCACCUUGCUCCUCAAGCUGCGCAUGGCGCAGCACCUUCAGGCUGCCGUGGCCUUUGUGGAGCAAGGCCACAUACGCGUGGGCCCUGACGUGGUUACCGACCCUGCCUUCCUUGUCACGCGCAGCAUGGAGGACUUUGUCACUUGGGUCGACUCGUCCAAGAUCAAGCGACACGUGCUGAAGUACAACGAGGAGCACGAUGACUUCGAUCUGGAAGCCUAGCGGCUCUCCCACUCUCCACGGCUGUCUCUUACAGAUGGGAAAACUGAGACCUGAUGCUGAAGAUUCUCUGAGGGUGCUCUCCCGAAGAGUGUCAAACGGCUGUAGGUACUUAAGAACUUGAUACAUCAAGGGCAGGCCGUGCACAGAGCCACAGGAGGUACGUUCUUAUUUUCCAGGAAAUGUUCUUAGAACUUGGACUACUGAUUUUUGUGCCUUGGGAAACAGUCGGAAGUAACUUGGUGCUGCUCUGGGGUAUUGUUGGCUUCUUGCGUUGGAAACUUUGUAAUGUAAAAGCAAAAACUGCAAAUCCCCACACUCUGUUUCCCUUUAUCGUCUUGUAGCUGGACUGGUUCCAUUCAUUUAACUCGAAUUCUUGCUCCUGUCCAUGGGGUUAAGCUGUGUAGAGAUGAUGCGGAGUUUGGUGAGCUCAAGUUUUUAUAAACUCAGUGAGACUAGUGUGUUCAGGAUCGCCUCCCUUGUUUAAAGAAAUGCUUUCCUAAUGCCAUUAAAUGACUCAGCUGCUUUGUAAGUGCAAAAAAAAAAAAAAAAA
Sapajus apella (tufted capuchin) is the source of this 1143-nucleotide RNA transcript. It is a transcript of the gene named U3 small nucleolar ribonucleoprotein protein IMP3-like, with no coding region annotated. The transcript has a single exon. Lineage: Eukaryota; Metazoa; Chordata; Mammalia; Primates; Cebidae. The record is from RefSeq and is a predicted model, not a curated record.